UACGUAGGUGGCAAGCGUUGUCCGGAUUUACUGGGCGUAAAGAGCGCGCAGGCGGUCGUUCAAGUCGAGUGUGAAAGCCCCGGCUCAACUGGGGAGGGUCACUCGAUACUGAUCGACUCGAAGGCAGAAGAGGGAAGCGGAAUUCCCGGUGUAGUGGUGAAAUGCGUGGAUAUCGGGAGGAACACCAGUGGCGAAGGCGGCUUUCUGGUCUGCUCUUGACGCUGAGGCGCGAAAGCUAGGGUAGCAAACGGG
Molecule: ribosomal RNA, 252 nt
Filed under: uncultured bacterium
Lineage: Bacteria
Description: partial 16S ribosomal RNA
Rfam family: Bacterial small subunit ribosomal RNA
Source: RNAcentral